This 720-nucleotide ribosomal RNA is filed under the name Peribacillus simplex. Its description in RNAcentral is "bacterial SSU rRNA". It matches the Rfam family "Bacterial small subunit ribosomal RNA", at positions 50 to 755 of the family's 1533-position model. Lineage: Bacteria; Bacillati; Bacillota; Bacilli; Caryophanales; Bacillaceae. The record is from RNAcentral.
UAUACAUGCAGUCGAGCGAUCGAUGGCAGCUUGCUCCCUGAGAUUAGCGGGGAGCGGGGGAGUAACACGUGGGCAACCUGCCUAUAAGACUGGGAUAACUUCGGGAAACCGGAGCUAAUACCGGAUACGUUCUUUUCUCGCAUGAGAGAAGAUGGAAAGACGGUUUACGCUGUCACUUAUAGAUGGGCCCGCGGCGCAUUAGCUAGUUGGUGAGGUAAUGGCUCACCAAGGCGACGAUGCGUAGCCGACCUGAGAGGGUGAUCGGCCACACUGGGACUGAGACACGGCCCAGACUCCUACGGGAGGCAGCAGUAGGGAAUCUUCCGCAAUGGACGAAAGUCUGACGGAGCAACGCCGCGUGAACGAAGAAGGCCUUCGGGUCGUAAAGUUCUGUUGUUAGGGAAGAACAAGUACCAGAGUAACUGCUGGUACCUUGACGGUACCUAACCAGAAAGCCACGGCUAACUACGUGCCAGCAGCCGCGGUAAUACGUAGGUGGCAAGCGUUGUCCGGAAUUAUUGGGCGUAAAGCGCGCGCAGGUGGUUCCUUAAGUCUGAUGUGAAAGCCCACGGCUCAACCGUGGAGGGUCAUUGGAAACUGGGGAACUUGAGUGCAGAAGAGGAAAGUGGAAUUCCAAGUGUAGCGGUGAAAUGCGUAGAGAUUUGGAGGAACACCAGUGGCGAAGGCGACUUUCUGGUCUGUAACUGACACUGAGGCGCG